UCCCGGCUAGCUCAGUCGGUAGAGCGUCAGACUCUUACUGUACAAGGGUUUCCGAGUUUGUCUCGGAGUUCAUCUGAAUGUCGUGGGUUCGAGCCCCACGUUGGGAG
This 107-nucleotide transfer RNA is filed under the name Sporisorium scitamineum. Its description in RNAcentral is "transfer RNA-Lys(CTT)". It matches the Rfam family "tRNA". From Rfam's summary of the family: Transfer RNA (tRNA) molecules are approximately 80 nucleotides in length. The record is from RNAcentral. Lineage: Eukaryota; Fungi; Basidiomycota; Ustilaginomycetes; Ustilaginales; Ustilaginaceae.